GCGGAGGAAAAGAAACCAACAGGGAUUGCCCCAGUAACGGCGAGUGAAGCGGCAACAGCUCAAAUUUGAAAUCUGGUCCCCUCUGGGGGCCCGAGUUGUAAUUUGAAGAGGAUGCUUCUGGCGAGGCGCCGACCGAGUUCCCUGGAACGGGACGCCAUAGAGGGUGAGAGCCCCGUACGGCCGGACGCCGAGCCUCUGUGAAGCUCCUUCGACGAGUCGAGUAGUUUGGGAAUGCUGCUCAAAAUGGGAGGUAAACCCCUUCUAAAGCUAAAUACCGGCCAGAGACCGAUAGCGCACAAGUAGAGUGAUCGAAAGAUGAAAAGCACUUUGAAAAGAGAGUUAAAAAGCACGUGAAAUUGUUGAAAGGGAAGCGCUUGCGACCAGACUCGCGCCCGUCGGAUCAGCCGUCCCUCGCGGGCGGCGCACUCCGGCGGGCUCGGGCCAGCAUCGGUUCGCCCGGGGGGAGAAAGGCGGCGGGAAUGUGGCUCUACGGAGUGUUAUAGCCCGCCGCGCAAUACCACCGGGCGGACCGAGGACCGCGCGU
This 544-nucleotide small RNA is filed under the name Pithoascus nidicola. RNAcentral's name for it is "eukaryotic LSU rRNA". It matches the Rfam family "Eukaryotic large subunit ribosomal RNA", at positions 50 to 600 of the family's 3401-position model. Lineage: Eukaryota; Fungi; Ascomycota; Sordariomycetes; Microascales; Microascaceae. The record is from RNAcentral.